RNAcentral lists this ribosomal RNA (252 nucleotides) under uncultured bacterium. RNAcentral's name for it is "partial 16S ribosomal RNA". It matches the Rfam family "Bacterial small subunit ribosomal RNA", at positions 524 to 775 of the family's 1533-position model. The record is from RNAcentral.
UACGUAGGGUGCAAGCGUUAAUCGGAAUUACUGGGCGUAAAGCGUGCGCAGGCGGUUCUAUAAGACAGAUGUGAAAUCCCCGGGCUCAACCUGGGAACUGCAUUUGUGACUGUAGAGCUGGAGUGCGGCAGAGGGGGAUGGAAUUCCGCGUGUAGCAGUGAAAUGCGUAGAUAUGCGGAGGAACACCGAUGGCGAAGGCAAUCCCCUGGGCCUGCACUGACGCUCAUGCACGAAAGCGUGGGGAGCAACAGG